Molecule: long non-coding RNA, 1404 nt
Organism: Cyprinus carpio (common carp)
Lineage: Eukaryota; Metazoa; Chordata; Actinopteri; Cypriniformes; Cyprinidae
Exons: 3
Source: RefSeq, a predicted model, not a curated record
UUUCUUAUAUAUGUGCGUGUGUAUUUAUAUAAUAUUUUCAUAAUAUGUGUGUGUAUGUGUGUUUGUUUGCUUGUUAGUUAUUUUGAUGUCCACACUGUAAGAGCAUUAUCUAUAAACCACCUCGCUAUGUGUACUGCGUUAAGCUCACUCAGACGUGUAAUAGCGCAUGUAUAUGAUUGCUCUUUUACUUGAUUCAGUUAGUAAACCUAAAACUUUAAAUUCUGCUGUUAUUAUUCUUUCUAUUUUUUUUUUGUAUAUUCUGUAAAUUACUUUUCUUUUCUGCAUUUCACCUCUGCUACAGUUUAUUUAUAAUAAACCUGGCAUUGUAUAAUAAAUAUUGUUGGCUUUGACAGAAUGACAGAUUGUUUAUGUUCCUAGAUUCUUCCAUGCUGAUGGCCAUACCCUAGAGUUGUAGCGUGUAUCUUGUCGAAGAUCAUUUUUAGACAUUAUGAGACAUAUGACUUAGGGGCAAAAUACAUUGAGCCAAGUCAGACAUUCGACAGUCAUAAUUACUGAUCUUAACACACAGGGAAAAUGUGUAAUGAACGCCUCGCAGAUACAAACGGGGUAAAUAAUAGUUCAUCAUUGAUAUAUUUUUUCUAUUUCAGAGACUGUAAAUCAUCGAUAAACCACAAGAGUUUAGCUCCAACCCCAAUUAAGCAGACCUGAGCAGCUGAUCAAAGAUCACCAGAAACUCUGCAGAACGGUGGUCCUGCAUGCCCAGGACUGGACACCAGUGUUAUGCUGGAGAAAAAACAUCUGCCAUGGCUCAUUAAUCCAGAAUUGGGAUGGUGGAAGGAGCAGAAGAACCAGAAGAUCAGAGAUCAGGCAGAGAUCUACUGGUGCCCCUGUGGGAACCAAUUUACCUAAUGAGUUAGUUAAACCGAAGAUUUUCAUCACUCACCUUCAUGUUGUUCCAAGUCAGACUUUUGUUCAUCUUUGAAACAUAAAUGCAGAACUUUUUAAUGAAAUCUGAGAAAUAUAUUUUUUUAUUUAUAAAAUAACAUUCACGAGAGCACCAUGAUGCAUUAGUGUUGAGUUGGCGUGAGAGCUGGCAAUCUCAUGGUACUUUUGUGAAAAUCUGUUGGGGAUACAUCAUUUCUGAAUAAAUUUUUUUUUUUUUUUUUUUUUUUUUUUUUUUGCUGUUGUUGUUUUUUUGUACACAAGGCAUCUGUUAAAAAACCUUAAUUUGUGUUCUGCACAAAAGGGUCUUAUGGGUUUGGAGCAACAUGAGGGUAAGUAAUUAAUGAUAGAAUUUACAUUUUUGGUUGUUCUAAUGUGGUUAUUAUUGGUCAUUAUUUCCAUUUUCAAUAUUUUAAAGAUUUAUUGUCUUGAAAAAUUAUGUUUAUACAGAAAGAUUGAUUCAUUGGAUAAGUUACAGUAAAGACUUUUAAAUUGAUAAAA